AUACGUAGGUGGCAAGCGUUGUCCGGAAUUAUUGGGCGUAAAGGGUGCGUAGGCGGUCUGUUAAGUCCAGUCUUAAAGCGUACGGCUUAACCGUAUAGAAGGACUGGAAACUGGUGGACUUGAGGAUAGGAGAGGAAAGUGGAAUUCCACGUGUAGCGGUGAAAUGCGUAGAGAUGUGGAGGAACACCAAUGGCGAAGGCAGCUUUCUGGCCUAUCACUGACGCUGAUGCACGAAAGCGUGGGUAGCAAACAGGAUUAGAUACCCUGGUAGUCCACGCCGUAAACGAUGAGUACUAAGUGUCGGGAGAACUCGGUGCUGAAGUUAACACAUUAAGUACUCCGCCUGGGAAGUACGGUCGCAAGACUGAA
This 369-nucleotide ribosomal RNA is filed under the name uncultured bacterium. Its description in RNAcentral is "bacterial SSU rRNA". It matches the Rfam family "Bacterial small subunit ribosomal RNA", at positions 523 to 898 of the family's 1533-position model. The record is from RNAcentral.